UACGGAAGGCAGCAGUGGGGAAUAUUGCACAAUGGGCGCAAGCCUGAUGCAGCCAUGCCGCGUGUAUGAAGAAGGCCUUCGGGUUGUAAAGUACUUUCAGCGGGGAGGAAGGCGGUGGAGUUAAUAGCUUCACCGAUUGACGUUACCCGCAGAAGAAGCACCGGCUAACUCCGUGCCAGCAGCCGCGGUAAUACGGAGGGUGCAAGCGUUAAUCGGAAUUACUGGGCGUAAAGCGCACGCAGGCGGUCUGUCAAGUCGGAUGUGAAAUCCCCGGGCUUAACCUGGGAACUGCAUUCGAAACUGGCAGGCUAGAGUCUUGUAGAGGGGGUAGAAUUCCAGGUGUAGCGGUGAAAUGCGUAGAGAUCUGGAGGAAUACCGGUGGCGAAGGCGGCCCCUGGACAAAGACUGACGCUCAGGUGCGAAAGCGUGGGGAGCAAACAGGAUUAGAUACC
Molecule: ribosomal RNA, 452 nt
Filed under: uncultured bacterium
Lineage: Bacteria
Description: bacterial SSU rRNA
Rfam family: Bacterial small subunit ribosomal RNA
Source: RNAcentral